AACCUUUACAAUGCACGCAAGUGUGAUAAGGGGAUCCCCCGUGCUCAUGCAUUGCAUGGGCUUUUGCUAAGUGUAAAUAGCUUGGCGAAUAAGUGGUGGGUAAGACUGGUGCCAGCCGCCGCGGUAACACCAGCGCCACGAGUGGCAACCGCGUUUAUUGGGCCUAAAGCGUCCGUAGCCGGCCUGGUAAAUCUCUUGUGAAAUUGUCUGGCUUAACUAGACAACGUGCAAGAGACACUGCCAAGCUUGAGACCGGGAGGAGUCAGAAGUAUUCCAGGGGGAGCGGUAAAAUGUUAUAAUCCCUGGAGGACUACCUGUGGCGAAGGCGUCUGACUGGAACGGAUCUGACGGUGAGGGACGAAAGCUAGGGGAGCGAACCGGAUUAGAUACCCGAGUAGUCCUAGCUGUAAACGCUGUGAGCUAGGUGUUGCAUCAACGACAGGUUGAUGCAGUCCC
RNAcentral lists this ribosomal RNA (456 nucleotides) under uncultured marine archaeon. RNAcentral's name for it is "bacterial SSU rRNA". It matches the Rfam family "Archaeal small subunit ribosomal RNA", at positions 345 to 802 of the family's 1478-position model. The record is from RNAcentral.